RNAcentral lists this ribosomal RNA (460 nucleotides) under uncultured bacterium. RNAcentral's name for it is "partial 16S ribosomal RNA". It matches the Rfam family "Bacterial small subunit ribosomal RNA", at positions 338 to 795 of the family's 1533-position model. The record is from RNAcentral.
CCUACGGGUGGCUGCAGUGAGGAAUAUUGGUCAAUGGACGAGAGUCUGAACCAGCCAAGUAGCGUGAAGGAUGACUGCCCUAUGGGUUGUCAACUUCUUUUAUAUGGGAAUAAAAUGUUCCACGUGUGGGAUUUUGUAUGUACCCUAUGAAUAAGGACCGGCUAAUUCCGUGCCAGCAGCCGCGGUAAUACGGCAGGUCCGAGCGUUAUCCGGAUUUAUUGGGUUUAACGGGAGCGUAGGCCGGCUUUUAAGUCAGCUGUGAAAGUCCGCGGCUCAACCGUGGAAUUGCAGUUGAAACUGGAGGCCUUGAGGUCACACAGGGAUGCCGGAAUUCAGGGUGUAGCGGUGAAAUGCUUAGAUAUCAUGAAGAACACCGAUCGCGAAGGCAAGUGUCCGGGGUGCAACUGACGCUGAGGCUCGAAAGUGCGGGUAUCAAACAGGAUUAGAUACCCCUGUAGUC